This 499-nucleotide ribosomal RNA is filed under the name uncultured bacterium. RNAcentral describes it as "partial 16S ribosomal RNA". It matches the Rfam family "Bacterial small subunit ribosomal RNA", at positions 899 to 1397 of the family's 1533-position model. The record is from RNAcentral.
ACUCAAAGGAAUUGACGGGGGCCCGCACAAGCGGUGGAGCAUGUGGUUUAAUUCGAUGCAACGCGAAGAACCUUACCUACCCUUGACAUCCUAAGAAUCUGGCAGAGAUGCCGGAGUGCCGAAAGGAAUUUAGAGACAGGUGCUGCAUGGCUGUCGUCAGCUCGUGUUGUGAGAUGUUGGGUUAAGUCCCGUAACGAGCGCAACCCUUAUCCUUAGUUGCCAACAUGUAAUGGUGGGGACUCUAAGGAGACUGCUGGUGAAGAACCGGAGGAAGGUGGGGACGACGUCAAGUCAUCAUGGCCUUUAUGGGUAGGGCCACACACGUGCUACAAUGGGUCGUACAGAGGGGAGCGAACCUGCGAAGGGGAGCCAAUCUCGCAAAACGACUCGUAGUCCGGAUUGGAGUCUGCAACUCGACUCCAUGAAGUUGGAAUCGCUAGUAAUCGCGAAUCAGAAUGUCGCGGUGAAUACGUUCCCGGGCCUUGUACACACCGCCCGU